Molecule: ribosomal RNA, 407 nt
Filed under: uncultured beta proteobacterium
Lineage: Bacteria; Pseudomonadati; Pseudomonadota; Betaproteobacteria
Description: bacterial SSU rRNA
Rfam family: Bacterial small subunit ribosomal RNA
Source: RNAcentral
GGAGCGGCCGAUGCCUGAUUAGCUAGUUGGUGGGGUAAAGGCCUACCAAGGCAACGAUCAGUAGUUGGUCUGAGAGGACGACCAGCCACACUGGGACUGAGACACGGCCCAGACUCCUACGGGAGGCAGCAGUGGGGAAUUUUGGACAAUGGGCGAAAGCCUGAUCCAGCAAUGCCGCGUGAGUGAAGAAGGCCUUCGGGUUGUAAAGCUCUUUCAGUCGAGAAGAAAAGGUUGUGACAAAUAAUCACAACUUAUGACGGUAUCGACAGAAGAAGCACCGGCUAACUACGUGCCAGCAGCCGCGGUAAUACGUAGGGUGCAAGCGUUAAUCGGAAUUACUGGGCGUAAAGGGUGCGCAGGCGGCUUUGUAAGUCAGAUGUGAAAUCCCCGGGCUUAACCUGGGAAUU